This 103-nucleotide signal recognition particle RNA is filed under the name Mesotoga prima MesG1.Ag.4.2. RNAcentral describes it as "Bacterial signal recognition particle RNA". It matches the Rfam family "Bacterial small signal recognition particle RNA". Rfam says of the family: The signal recognition particle (SRP) is a universally conserved ribonucleoprotein involved in the co-translational targeting of proteins to membranes. Archaeal SRP consists of a 7S RNA and homologues of the eukaryotic SRP19 and SRP54 proteins. The record is from RNAcentral. Lineage: Bacteria; Thermotogati; Thermotogota; Thermotogae; Kosmotogales; Kosmotogaceae.
GGAUUGAGUCCUGCGCAACGGGAACUUGCGAACCUGGUCAGGUCCGGGAGGAAGCAGCCAUAAGCGAGCGCUCCCGUGUGCCGCGGGAUUGCUCAGUCUGAGC